CCCGAAUGGCCUCUACUCCUGCACCUAUUGUCUAUGUUUCUAUUAAAGCCACAUUUGCAGAUUCUACCUCCAGAACGGCCCAAAAUCGCUGAUAAACAGCCACUGACAGCCAGCACAUCCAGUGAGCGCUAACCAGUUGCUAACUAGCGGUUAACCCGCCUCAACUAGCGAUAAAUCCCAUUUGUGUGUGUUUUCACCAUUUUAGCACCAAACCGGCCCCAAAUCGGUGGGUUGGGAUGUAAUGUUA
Molecule: long non-coding RNA, 247 nt
Organism: Amblyraja radiata (thorny skate)
Lineage: Eukaryota; Metazoa; Chordata; Chondrichthyes; Rajiformes; Rajidae
Exons: 3
Source: RefSeq, a predicted model, not a curated record